AUUAGCUUUGGUGAUGAUCCUUAAUCUUUAAAAAGGACUAAAUCGAACUAACUAGAAUUAUUUUGCUUUUCCUUUAUAAAUAGUGUUGCAUUUAAUAGAGAAACACGGCAACAAUCAAGCAAAACACAUAGAGAAAGCAACAAUGGCAGCCCUUAUUCAACAACCAUCUCUAUCCAUUUCUCCACUUUAGCCAAUAGCUUAGCUCUACAUCACUAAAACACCUCUGCUAUUGCCAUCGUCGAUCAACCAGCUAAAAUUCCAACACCAUAUUUUUCAUCAAUCAGCUUCCAAUCAUCAAAUCCAUCUGCAAUUAAAACCCAUAAUAUCCCAAACCCAGUAGGCAAUCAAAGUGCAAGAAUCACAUUCGUCCCAAGGUUUUCAAUAAUCAACCCAAAGUUUUUUUUUUUUACAACAACAAAGACCACAACAGCAAGCAAAAAAAUUGAAACAAAAUUUAUGGCAGUAGCCUUGAGGUUUCAAUCUCGGGCAUGAAAGGAUUUCUUUAUAUGGGGUUGCGAAUGAAGCUCGAAUAGCUAUAAGAAAUGAGGGCUCACAGUCAAUAGGUGAUGGGGACUGAGGUUGAUAGCGGCCGGUGGUAUUUUUGGAGAUCAGAACCUGCAAAAAGAAUAUGAGAGGCCACCAACAUACUAAAAAUUUAAAGGAAUCGGACAGUGGAAAAGGCUAAGAUGGCGCUUAAAAAAUCACAACUUUGGCUUCAGACUUGGGACAUUAACGGAUAAUUUUUUAGAAUCUAGCCCCAAAUCUGUGACGUGGAGACUGAAAGGGGGUUCCUAGUGAAAUUUAAGAGUUUCCUAAUCAUCAAUAGAUGGCUAACGACGACGGCAUAAUGGCUGACAGUGGUGGAAGGCGUGGAGAUGAACAACAAGAUUUUGGAAAAUAUAAAGAACCGGUGGCUGUGCUUUUGAGUUUUUUUUUUAUUAAAUUAUGGGUUUUAUUUUGGAGAGAAAAUUAGAGGAUUUAAGGAAGAAAAAGAGAGAAGCAAAAAAUGGGGAAUUGAAAGAGAAGAAGUCUGAGUAGGGCUGUAUGCUGCUGUAAAAACAACGUAGUUUUGGACAUAAGCAAACGACACCGUUCAACCCGUAUUUCAGUUCGUUUGGCAGCUUCGCCCAGUUUCUAAACUUGCCUGCUAGACUGUGGUGAAUUUUCUAUUUGGGCUUGGCAAAUUUUAAUCCCGGCUCAGUAUUAACCAAAUCAAGGUUGGAAUUGAUCAAGCCCAGUUUUUUAAAUUGUUCACGAGCCCAAGCUGGCAAUAAGCCCCACAUUGGUCUUAAGUUUCAUUUUGAGUUGAGUCCAGUUUUGUUUAGGUAAUUUCUAUAUUUGGUUUUAUUUGUAUAUUUAUUUAUUUAUUUCAUGCGUACAUAAUAUUGUAAUUGGAUAAAAAUUAGAAGAUUUUAUGAAUUAAAAAUAUUUUUAAUCCUAC
This 1441-nucleotide long non-coding RNA is filed under the name Durio zibethinus. Its description in RNAcentral is "long non-coding RNA (DZIB_LNC000191)". The record is from RNAcentral. Lineage: Eukaryota; Viridiplantae; Streptophyta; Magnoliopsida; Malvales; Malvaceae.